UGGGGAAUUUUGGACAAUGGGCGAAAGCCUGAUCCAGCAAUGCCGCGUGUGUGAAGAAGGCCUUCGGGUUGUAAAGCACUUUUGUCCGGAAAGAAAUCCUUGGCUCUAAUACAGUCGGGGGAUGACGGUACCGGAAGAAUAAGCACCGGCUAACUACGUGCCAGCAGCCGCGGUAAUACGUAGGGUGCAAGCGUUAAUCGGAAUUACUGGGCGUAAAGCGUGCGCAGGCGGCUUGCUAAGACCGAUGUGAAAUCCCCGGGCUCAACCUGGGAACUGCAUUGGUGACUGGCAGGCUAGAGUAUGGCAGAGGGGGGUAGAAUUCCACGUGUAGCAGUGAAAUGCGUAGAGAUGUGGAGGAAUACCGAUGGCGAAGGCAGCCCCCCUGGGGCCAAAUACUGACGCUCAUGCACGAAAGCGUGGGGAGCAAACAGGAUUAGAUACCCUGGUAGUCCACGCCCUAAACGAUGUCAACUAGUUGUUGGGGAUUCAUUUCCUUAGUAACGUAGCUAACGCGUGAAGUUGACCGCCUGGGGAGUACGGUCGCAAGAUU
This 550-nucleotide ribosomal RNA is filed under the name uncultured bacterium. RNAcentral describes it as "partial 16S ribosomal RNA". It matches the Rfam family "Bacterial small subunit ribosomal RNA", at positions 355 to 895 of the family's 1533-position model. The record is from RNAcentral.